Molecule: ribosomal RNA, 468 nt
Filed under: uncultured bacterium
Lineage: Bacteria
Description: partial 16S ribosomal RNA
Rfam family: Bacterial small subunit ribosomal RNA
Source: RNAcentral
GACGAACGCUGGCGGCGUGCUUAACACAUGCAAGUCGAACGGAAAGGCCCUGUUUUAGUGGGGUGCUCGAGUGGCGAAUGGGUGAGUCACCCGAGCGUACCCUGCCCUUGACUAUGGGAUAACUUCAGGAUACUGGGGAUCACACCGGAUAGGAGCACCAGCUGCAUGGUGGGGGUUGGCAUGUUCCGGUGGAUGGGGAUGGACUCGCGGCUUAUCAGCUUGUUGGUGGGGUAGUGGCUUACCACGGCAUUGACGGGUUGUCGGCCUGGGAGGGUGGCCGGCCACAUGAGGACUGAGAGACGGCCCAGAGUCCUACUUGAGACAACAGGGGAAAAUAUUGCACAAUAAGCGGGAGCCUAGGACAGCGACGCCGCGGGCGGGAUGAGGGCCUGCGGGUAGUAAACCGCCUUCGCCUAUUACGAAGCGUAAAUGACGGUAAUGUAAAAAUAAGCACCGGCUAACUACGUG